UCAAUUCGCCACACCCAGCCAAUGGGUCACAUCCACCCGGCAUUCGAUGAUGCAUAAGUGGGUUUUGGGUUGCUGUUUGGGCACUCGGUCUCUAAAAGGUUCGCCAUCACUGUUCUAUUCUAACUUGAUUUUGGGUGUGCAAGGCAUCUUAAGUAAAUCCACUAGUUAAACAAUUUGGUUUUGUUGACCUCCCCUUUUUAAAAUUUACUAGCCAGAGGAAUUUCAACAGUAUGAUAUAACCAAGUAAUACCAAUUAUGUAUGGAAAAAUAUACUUUAGAACAUUUCUCCAGAGCUGUAUUCCUCCUGUCCUCCAAUCCACAGAAUAGUGUAUUGAUAUAAUUUAUAUUGCUCACACAGCUAAGCCUCAUUCUGCUUCAAAAAUGAGGCUGGGGAGUGAUGCUGUUCUUAGAAAUAUCAUGCAAAACAGUACUGGGAUAACAGUAUUCCCUGGCCCCUUUCCCACCAUGACUCAUCAACCAUGGAGGAAAAACACCGCCACUUGUUCCUCAUAAUGUGAGGAAGAGCACAGUUGGAAGACUUAGGCACAUUACACUUCAGCUUAUAUUCCUUCAUUGCCCUUGGACAGUCUGCAUUUUUUUCAUAGUUUAUUUGCAUAGGAUUAUAGAGCUAUUGGUCCCCUAAAACAGGAAUGUCAAACUGCCAGCCCACUGGCCGGUUGCAUCAUAUGGAGGCCGUGCCCACCCCAGCUCCAGCAAUGGAAAAGGUUGCCCUAAAACAUUAAUAGCUUAUCUCAAAAGCAAACAAACACUUGAAAUAUCCACUCUGUGCAAGCCAGAUGUCAAGUUUCUAUGGCACCUCAAGUCAUUGGAGGCAGGGCUCAAUGGGAGGAUACUUUAAAAAAAAAAAGAUGGUUUUCCAGAAUAUCUUAUAGAAUCUCAAAGCAACUGGAAGGAGCUUGCAGGCAGGUUGAUAGAUUUCCUUUCUACUUCACCUGUCUCUCCUAAACUAGGUCUACUUAUCAGCCAAGAUUUUGUUUGUUUGUCUUGACACUGAGUGUAUUGGUCUCCUGGAAAGUCGGCAUUUAUUUGGAAAGCAACUGUCUUCCAGGGAAUCAAUAUUUCCAUGUCAAAAACAAAAAACAAAAGACUGCACAAAUCAAGUGCCAAUCUUUCUCACCUCACCAGGUAAAAAUGGCAGUGGCUGAUAAUUCAAUGAGGAAAGUUGGUGAAUAGGCUGUUAAAUGAUUAUAUUUAUAGGAAAUGAAUUGUGCUCUCUCAAAGAUUAUUUUUAUGGUUAACAGUUUUGUUUUUAAUAUUUUUAAUUUUUCCUGUUUUUGUGGUUAUCUUUGUAUUGCUUUUUAAAAAUUCUGUAAGCAACCCAAAGUCGCAACACUCUGAUAGGGAGAUAUAUAAAUUUAAUGAAUAAAUUUUAACAAUCCAUAGCAAAUUAAUGCAGCCAAUACAUAGGAGCUGGGCAGAUCCUUGCCCUGACUGCUUCAUCACUACCCAUGUUGUAGAUUAUUCAUAUGUCAAAACUUGUGUUAAAAAGGAGAAACAGCAUUUUAACAACUGAGGCUUGGAUGAGACUUACAUGACCUCAUUAGCCAAUGUUCCUUAACAAGUUAAGAUAGCAUCUUCCUGCCAUGGUGAGGCAUGAGAACAAGCCCUUACUAUUGUUAUGUUCCCGAUGCAUAACUUAAUGCAUUACUUUACUUUCCUAUCACCAAGAAGGAUGCUCUAUAUACGAUCAAUUCAGAAACUAGAUCUGUGUUUUUUUUCCAAGGCAACUUUUUCCAACCUGACAUAUUCUAAAUAUAAUUCCCCACCAUCUUUUCAGCAUACUGUCUGGAAUAAUUCUACAAAUGUGCAGGGCUUCAGAUUGGGGCACUGAUUACCUAUAAGUGUGAGUAAACAGAUCAUGACAUCACAUAUUGCAAAUUCAGUGCUACAGUACAUCCACACAAAACCAUUCUUACAUGUAAAUAAUUUUGGGAUUAUAAAGUGGUAAAUUAAAACUUGUGAGAUGUAUUACACUUCAUUCUCCUUGCUUUCUUUUGUUCUACAACUAUUCAUUUCAAACAGUUAAUAAAACUUUUCUCUGCAAGUAUUGUACAAUUAUAGCAAACAGGCCACCAAUCAGCAGAUUCAUAUAUAAGAUUAUUUAGUUUUAUUAUGACUGCGCUGUGUGCUCUCUGAAGGUCAAAUGGAAAAGAGCAACUGAGAAGGGAAUUUUGCCAGCUGUAAUGCCAACUUCUGACGUAGGAACUCAGAGUUUAGACACAGGGUACAUGAAAAGAGUAAAUAAAGAAAACAAUGUUCAUUUCAUUGCAUCUCUUACUAUAUAAAGGGUGCAAUGGUUUUGUUAAUCUUUAUACGAAAAACCUACACGCUGUAAACAGCAGCUCAAACUUGGGGAAAAUGGUAUCUAAAAAGUUACAAAGAUUAGAAAAAAGUUUAGCAUACUGUAACAAAGUACUUCUUAAACCACAUUCUGUGGAACAACUUAUUCCCCAAGCAACGUAUUUUGCAAAUUUGUCCUCAGCUCCAUGAAAAGGCUUUUUGUGGCUUUUGGAUCAGUUUAGCCAAAAACUUUCAGAAAAAGAUAUCAAACGAUGGGCAUCAUGAUUUUCUAUUCCUUUUCAACUGAGUAAAGUGGUCAAUCAUCAAUGGGAAUCCACAAGCAGAACAGUAACACCCAGCAAUGCCUGCAGAGAAGAUGUCAAAACAGACAAGAUGGCAAAUGCCAAUAUUAAAUAUACAAAAGAGGAAGGACUUAUAUAAUAAUGUGACUUCCACCCACUUCCGGUUUUGACCUCAUCUCAUGGAUGCUGCUGCUAACUCUAUCUCAUUCAUAGUCCCCAAAAAUGAGUUUCAAAAGGAAAAAGCUUUCAUUGUUCUUUUGUAUUUGAACCACCAUAAAUAAAGACUGAUCAACGAAUCCAAUUACUUCAGAGAUUGUAUUGUUUAUACAGCUUCACUGUAUGAAGUGACUAUUUCUUGCUAGUCCCUGCAUUAUUUUUAACCAGUUACCACUUCAUAAAAUGUCAUAUUUAAUCUAUGACUUCUAAAUGCGAGCUUCACAAAAAGAAACUCCAAAUAGCUUUGCGUGUUUGUUACAGAUAAUACUUAUCUACUUAAUGCAUUUAACCAUGUUAUUAUGCUUUCUUCAGCAAAAUUUAUCCUGUUUACUUUAUAAUGUAACCUUUAUUAAUAUUACUUUAACUAGCUUGACAUUUCUGAAUACCUAAAGUUUAUUUUAUUUUGCCUUGCCCUUGACAGAACUAUCUUAAGAAUGCUACACAUUUUUCUCAGGUGAGCAGUCCCAUAUUUGUAUUCUUUUGGAACUCUUGAAUAGGUUUCAUUCAAACCAACAAAAUCUAUAAAUUUGUUUCUUUGCCUCUUCAGCUCGUUUCUUUCCUAAAGCAUCUUCUCUACAUUUUCUGGAGAUGUAGAGAACCCAUUCAGCUUCUCUACACUCUCCUUUUAAUCAGCUUGCUAUCCAAUUUUUCAACCACGUAUGUUUUAUCACUGAUAUAUUUAAAUUUUAUUUUAGUAAUUUUAAUAUUAAUGAUUUGGUCCUCAAAAUUCUUUCUUACACCAUUGCCUAUUUGCAUUUAUUUUAUGCAAGGUUAUUUUUUCUGUAUUAUGUCAAGAAUUGAACUUUAUAAAGGAUUUUUUUUCUAAUAUUAUCCUUGAUAUUACUUAUUAGCAUGCAAAGGACAGAAUUUGAAUAAUCUUUACUGAUAGGCAAUAAACAUUUUAGCUGAAUGUCUAUUAUCAUAGUUUGUUAACAUUAAGUAUUCCUUCAACAGUUUUUCUCUCCUGAACACAAUUAUGACUGCAUUGUAGAUGAUCUGACAUGUAUUGCACUUUUGGGAGGGGAAAGGGAGUUUCCCUCUUAUUUUUAAAUAAAAUAUGAUACAUAAAUAGGAUCUGAAAUGUGUUAUUUCCAAUCAGUCCAAUAAGACUCACAUUUAUCACAAUUCUUGGGGGGGGGGUUUAGGGAAAAAUCCAGGUUGUCCCUCCUCUGGCUAGUCCCACUAUCAGUUGUUCCAAGAUAAAAUAAAAGGAGCAUAUAACUUUUUUCUGUGCCCAUUGUUGAUCUCAGGAUCACUAUCCUAGCCCAGAAUCCUAAAGUAACAAGGAGCAAGCAAUAUCAUAACAUGGAAUAAGAAAUUAUAAAGGGACAGAACUUGUUUUCUAAAUUCUAAAAUAUGGUAGUUACAUUUAAUUAUUGUUAGAAAGCUUGUUAAUUUUAUUUUUUCCACUAAUUUUUGUAAAGCUCAAAAUAAGUCAUUUCAAAAGCAUAACUUGAAGAAUUAUUUUAAAGAAUAUACUGACCGCUUCACAUAAUAUACACAUAAUAUACUGACCGCUUCACCAUCAUCGGCAAAAGCUCUCCUGUAACUAACUCCUAACUAGAGAUGUUAAGAACUAAAGUUGGAAUCUCUCACCUUUAAAGUUGUUGAUAUGCAGUGGAAUUAUUAUAGCUCUUCAUAAUUCAUCAACAAGAGGAACCCAGAUUAGUACUAUCAGGUUCCUACUACCGAGAUUAAAAUAUAAGUAAUUUGCCUGAGAAUACAAACAUCUGACACAGCUAGGGAAUAAAGACUUAAUAUACAAAUUUAUGAUACUCUUUUCUUCAACAUUAUACAUUUGACUUUUCUCACUACUGAAUUAAAAUGUUAUCCACUCAUCCUUAAAUUUGUGUGACUUCCUAUAUUGCAUCUAUUGUAUCUGUACUCAGAGUAGUGUUAUUCUGAUUUCUGAAUAUACACUAUAAAUAAGAGUGUAAGUAAAACUAUUAUUUCUCAACUCUAGUGCUGGCUCCUUUCAGCACAUCACUGUCAUGAAUUUAUAGCAGGAGAGGAUAUGAUUCCAAAACUUUCUGUGAGCUUCUCUCAUAUCACCCUAUUUGACCAUCUCAUUAGUUAAAAUAAUGUGGAAAAAAUAUGAGGAAAAACACCAAGACAGAAAUGAGAAGCUAUCUUUUUGUGUAAACAUUUUAUUAAUUUUCUAAUUUUACAAACAUAAAUACUUAAUAAACAUGUUGUCUGGGUCAUUGGUAAUUCAGUGGUACAUAUUA
Molecule: long non-coding RNA, 5047 nt
Organism: Crotalus tigris (Tiger rattlesnake)
Lineage: Eukaryota; Metazoa; Chordata; Lepidosauria; Squamata; Viperidae
Exons: 3
Source: RefSeq, a predicted model, not a curated record